This 896-nucleotide ribosomal RNA is filed under the name uncultured Arthrobacter sp. RNAcentral describes it as "bacterial SSU rRNA". It matches the Rfam family "Bacterial small subunit ribosomal RNA", at positions 505 to 1398 of the family's 1533-position model. The record is from RNAcentral. Lineage: Bacteria; Bacillati; Actinomycetota; Actinomycetes; Micrococcales; Micrococcaceae.
GUGCCAGCAGCCGCGGUAAUACGUAGGGCGCAAGCGUUAUCCGGAAUUAUUGGGCGUAAAGAGCUCGUAGGCGGUUUGUCGCGUCUGCCGUGAAAGUCCGGGGCUUAACUCCGGAUCUGCGGUGGGUACGGGCAGACUGGAGUGCAGUAGGGGAGACUGGAAUUCCUGGUGUAGCGGUGAAAUGCGCAGAUAUCAGGAGGAACACCGAUGGCGAAGGCAGGUCUCUGGGCUGUAACUGACGCUGAGGAGCGAAAGCAUGGGGAGCGAACAGGAUUAGAUACCCUGGUAGUCCAUGCCGUAAACGUUGGGCACUAGGUGUGGGGGACAUUCCACGUUUUCCGCGCCGUAGCUAACGCAUUAAGUGCCCCGCCUGGGGAGUACGGCCGCAAGGCUAAAACUCAAAGGAAUUGACGGGGGCCCGCACAAGCGGCGGAGCAUGCGGAUUAAUUCGAUGCAACGCGAAGAACCUUACCAAGGCUUGACAUGAACCGGAAUGAUGCAGAGAUGUGUCAGCCACUUGUGGCCGGUUUACAGGUGGUGCAUGGUUGUCGUCAGCUCGUGUCGUGAGAUGUUGGGUUAAGUCCCGCAACGAGCGCAACCCUCGUUCCAUGUUGCCAGCGGGUUAUGCCGGGGACUCAUGGGAGACUGCCGGGGUCAACUCGGAGGAAGGUGGGGACGACGUCAAAUCAUCAUGCCCCUUAUGUCUUGGGCUUCACGCAUGCUACAAUGGCCGGUACAAAGGGUUGCGAUACUGUGAGGUGGAGCUAAUCCCAAAAAGCCGGUCUCAGUUCGGAUUGAGGUCUGCAACUCGACCUCAUGAAGUUGGAGUCGCUAGUAAUCGCAGAUCAGCAACGCUGCGGUGAAUACGUUCCCGGGCCUUGUACACACCGCCCGUG